RNAcentral lists this ribosomal RNA (253 nucleotides) under uncultured bacterium. Its description in RNAcentral is "partial 16S ribosomal RNA". It matches the Rfam family "Bacterial small subunit ribosomal RNA", at positions 524 to 776 of the family's 1533-position model. The record is from RNAcentral.
UACGUAGGGGGCAAGCGUUAUCCGGAAUCAUUGGGCGUAAAGCGCGCGUAGGCGGCCCGGUAAGUCCGCUGUGAAAGUCAAAGGCUCAACCUUUGAAUGUCAGCGGAUACUGCCGGGCUAGAGUCCGGAAGAGGCGAGUGGAACUCCUGGUGUAGCGGUGGAAUGCGCAGAUAUCAGGAAGAACACCAACGGCGAAGGCAGCUCGCUGGGACGGAACUGACGCUAAGGCGCGAAAGCGUGGGGAGCGAACAGG